CUUUACAUUCACAGUAAUGUCUUACAAUAACAGAAUGCAGGAGAGCACAUAUCAAUGAAGAAAAGACAAAAUGUACUUAUCCAUGAAGCUGAGGUUAAGAAACCAGUGUCUUCAAGAGCCAAGGACAGCACUGGGUCUGUGCAGAGUUGAGAGAUGGUGAUGACAUGUGGUUUCCAGCAUUCCUCACCCAGUCCAGGGACACUGUGGGUGUGCCCAGCUUAAGUCCAGUAACUGGAAAUACAAGCCCAAGUUCUGGAGAGUUUGAGCUGCAGAGAUAUAUGUGGGAACACUUUGAACCUUGACUCAUUGGCCAUAACCAGCAGAGUGGAAAAUACAAGAAGAGAAAAAAACAUUGAACUGCGAUUUUAUAACAUCCUUUACUCGGCAGAGAGAAGAGGAAACACCAGGAAAGAAAACUGUAUUACGAUGUGAAAACUUAACGUUGAGAAAUUCAGGCAUCUUGGGGUUAGUGAGGAGAAGUUUUAGGGGCUUAGAUUCUUCAAAACACAUGUACAGAAAUGCAUAUUUCAUCUGAUAUCAAAUGACAUUUAUAGUGCUAAUCUUUACCUCAAGACUUCACAUCUUUUGGUGAUUGCAUCUUUUAGGUUUAUAGCAGCUAAGUUUGCAUGAAAACACCAGGGCUGUUUCAUUUCAGUCAAGAAUUAAUGUUCAUUGAUUGUGCUUCUGCAUUUCACGUAACUAUUGUAGAAUUUGUUUUAGUUUUAUGAGGGAAUAAUUGGUCCAACUUCUAUAUAACUCAGGAAUUUACUCUCAAACAACACUGUCAAUUAGUUACUUAUCUCUCUGGAAAUGAUCUGGGAACAUGGAGAGGAAAGGGAGGAAGGGGCAAAAUCUGACCACUUAAAUCUAAGCAUAUUAGAUCAUUUUAUGCUAGAAAGUCCUGAAUGAUGUGACUUUUGUUCUUGUAAAACACCUCUUUCCAUAGAUUCAUGGCCCAAACAGUAUAUAAAGAGUGGGGAAGGAACUGCAUUUGCAAAUAGUUCAAGUCAUUGCUCCAUCUUAACUAUGCAGUUCACAAAGUGUGAAGAAAUUUGAUCAUCUCAAAAAAGAUAAUGGGAAAAAAU
This 1085-nucleotide long non-coding RNA is filed under the name Pan troglodytes (chimpanzee). RNAcentral's name for it is "long non-coding RNA NONPTRT015722". Lineage: Eukaryota; Metazoa; Chordata; Mammalia; Primates; Hominidae. The record is from RNAcentral.